RNAcentral lists this ribosomal RNA (774 nucleotides) under uncultured Neocallimastigales. Its description in RNAcentral is "partial large subunit ribosomal RNA". It matches the Rfam family "Eukaryotic large subunit ribosomal RNA", at positions 24 to 616 of the family's 3401-position model. The record is from RNAcentral. Lineage: Eukaryota; Fungi; Neocallimastigomycota; Neocallimastigomycetes; Neocallimastigales.
UAUGUGAUCGUCUCUCGCAUAUCAAUAAGCGGAGGAAAAGAAACUAACAAGGAUUCCCCUAGUAACGGCGAGUGAAGCGGGAAGAGCUCAAAUUUGAAAUCUUAAAGGGUUUCCCUUUACGAAUUGUAGUUUAAAGAAGUGUUUUCUGUUGAGGUUUUGGUAAAAGUUCUUUGGAAUAGGACAUCAUAGAGGGUGAGAAUCCCGUAUUGGACCUUUACUUUCAACUUUGUGAUACACUUUCAAAGAGUCGGAUUGUUUGGGAAUGCAGUCCAAAAUGGGUGGUAAAUUUCAUCUAAAGCUAAAUAUUGGCGAGAGACCGAUAGCGAACAAGUACCGUGAGGGAAAGAUGAAAAGAACUUUGAAAAGAGAGUUAAACAGUACGUGAAAUUGUCAAAAGGGAAGCGUUUGACACCAGUGUUGUUUUUCUGAAAAUCAAUUAAAGAACUGUUUAUGCUAAGUUGUUUAGACUUUAUCAGCUAACUGUUUAGUUUUGAGCUUUUCUUUAAUGCACUUUUCAGUUAACAAGUCAACAUCAAUUUCUUUUGCUGUAAAAAAGCUUGAGGAAGGUGGCUUGAGAUUCGUCUUAAGUGCUUAUAGCCUCUUGCCUAUGCAGUCGGAGAGAUUGAGGUCUGCAGCGUAGAUCCUUCGGGGCUAAAUGCAUUUGUGCUAAGUUAUAGCAUUUUAUAGACAACUUGUUGACUAUGAUUUGUCUUGUAGCUUACUCGCUUAUGUUAUUUUACCUACGCUUAGGAUGUUGAGCGCAUGUCUCUCUCU